GCUUCUAAUCUCAGCUGGUCUCACCCGGGACUCCCCAAGUGCCAACCCUAGUCCCCCACGCAGCCCCUUUUCCACUCAGAUAAGAUGAAAGAAACAAUCAUUCAGUACCCCUGUAUUUUUAGUGACUGAAAUCAUGAAAAUUCUGGUCAGGUCCUGUCUUGUCUUGCUUGCACAUGUUAACCACUCCCUCUUUGACCAAUAUCCCUUUUUCCCCACAAUACAAUAUAAAAUGGGGAUAAUGGAUUUU
Molecule: long non-coding RNA, 247 nt
Filed under: Homo sapiens (human)
Lineage: Eukaryota; Metazoa; Chordata; Mammalia; Primates; Hominidae
Description: non-protein coding lnc-ACOD1-2:2
Source: RNAcentral